UACGGAGGGAGCUAGCGUUGUUCGGAAUCACUGGGCGUAAAGCGCACGUAGGCGGACUCUUAAGUCGGUGGUGAAAUCCUGGAGCUCAACUCCAGAACUGCCUUCGAUACUGAGAGUCUCGAGUCCGAGAGAGGUGAGUGGAACUGCGAGUGUAGAGGUGAAAUUCGUAGAUAUUCGCAAGAACACCAGUGGCGAAGGCGGCUCACUGGCUCGGUACUGACGCUGAGGUGCGAAAGCGUGGGGAGCGAACAGG
This 253-nucleotide ribosomal RNA is filed under the name uncultured bacterium. Its description in RNAcentral is "partial 16S ribosomal RNA". It matches the Rfam family "Bacterial small subunit ribosomal RNA", at positions 524 to 776 of the family's 1533-position model. The record is from RNAcentral.